UUCGUAUCCCGGUGGUGAAGAGGAGGCAGUAUCAGCUUGAUGUUACCUGUUCGAUCCCCAGUCUUGCUUGAUUGCAUGGGUAGCUGCGACUCAGCGUCAAUAUGUUUGUAAAUUUUGUCACCUAAAUAAAUUAUUAUUAGUGUGAUUUUAGGGUCGAGAGGGUUUACCCAUGUAUGGUUUUGUACUGUUAUAUAAAGUUGACGAGCAAAAAUAUUUUCACAUAUAAAUAUUUUAUUUAUGUAGGUUCAUG
RNAcentral lists this long non-coding RNA (250 nucleotides) under Oryza brachyantha (malo sina). Its description in RNAcentral is "long non-coding RNA (OBRA_LNC002850)". Lineage: Eukaryota; Viridiplantae; Streptophyta; Magnoliopsida; Poales; Poaceae. The record is from RNAcentral.